UGGAUUUGAUAUGGACAUAUUGCAAUUAGCGGAGAGCGCGGAUAGAAACGGUGAGCUUAUGGUUCCACCUUCAGCUAUAAAUGCGGCUUACAUUUCCUGCGUCCGCAACUCGAGUUAAGGUUAGCAUCAAUCAUGCUUCAUGGUUAUAUGUUCUGUGAUGCUACUCUAGAUGUGUUGAUGAUAAUUUAUCUAUUUUUGUUGGAUACUGAGUGGUUUGAGGCAGUACGCCCUGUCCUAAGAGAGAUGGCUCUUGCUGGUCUUGUUCACCUGGAUGCAAAGCAAGAAGCAAGUUACCCAACAUAUAUUUACUUUGUUGCUCAAAGUUGUAGGAAAGAGUGCUCCUGAAUUAUCUAAAGAAGCUGCUGGUGUUUGCUUAUGGUCAUUGAGUCAAAACACAGAUAUUUACAAAUAAUGAAAUACAUCAUCCCACGGCUUGCAAAUUGCUAUGCUAAUUCCUGGUUCUAUCAGAUAUCUAAGGAAAAACUUCCUGUGCAUAAAAGAUUUAAUGUUUGAACGCAGGGAUUACAUGGAGACUCAAAUGUUGCACACCCACCAUCCGAGCGGUCAUAUGUAGUGUACUUUUGAUUUAUUAAUGCAUGAUGUAACCUUUAGAUAGAAUUACACUGAUAGAAGUAGGUUGUUCAUUAUAUUUUCCUAGUGUAUCAACCUUGUAAUUUAGUGAAUGGUUGCAUAAAUUCACUGGAUAUGAAUAUGAAUAUAUGGAUGUAAUUGUAAUUUCACAAACAAGAAUGAUUAUAAAUUUGCAGUUUCAUAGUUCGAAUUUGA
Papaver somniferum (opium poppy) is the source of this 786-nucleotide long non-coding RNA. RefSeq lists it as uncharacterized. The record is from RefSeq and is a predicted model, not a curated record. The transcript is spliced from 5 exons. NCBI's taxonomy places the organism in Eukaryota, Viridiplantae, Streptophyta, Magnoliopsida, Ranunculales, Papaveraceae.